CCAUGUUCCGCACCACUCGCUUCAACGGCCUACUACUACUAAACGCCUUUUCUGUGCGCGGUAGGCUGGUGUGCGACGUUCAGCGUUAGUCAUCAUCAGUAGAACUCUAAACCCGCGCCAUUGCGCGGGUUUUUUU
This 136-nucleotide small RNA is filed under the name Kluyvera ascorbata. RNAcentral describes it as "Leucine operon leader". It matches the Rfam family "Leucine operon leader". From Rfam's summary of the family: At least 6 amino acid operons are known to be regulated by attenuation. The record is from RNAcentral. Lineage: Bacteria; Pseudomonadati; Pseudomonadota; Gammaproteobacteria; Enterobacterales; Enterobacteriaceae.